GUCCCCAUCGCUUAACUGGAUAAAGCAGUGCCCUCCUAAGGCGUAGCUACAGGUUCGAGUCCUGUUGGGGAUACCA
RNAcentral lists this transfer RNA (76 nucleotides) under Campylobacterota bacterium. Its description in RNAcentral is "Epsilonproteobacteria bacterium tRNA-Arg". It matches the Rfam family "tRNA". From Rfam's summary of the family: Transfer RNA (tRNA) molecules are approximately 80 nucleotides in length. Their secondary structure includes four short double-helical elements and three loops (D, anti-codon, and T loops). Further hydrogen bonds mediate the characteristic L-shaped molecular structure. tRNAs have two regions of fundamental functional importance: the anti-codon, which is responsible for specific mRNA codon recognition, and the 3' end, to which the tRNAs corresponding amino acid is attached (by aminoacyl-tRNA synthetases). tRNAs cope with the degeneracy of the genetic code in two manners: having more than one tRNA (with a specific anti-codon) for a particular amino acid; and 'wobble' base-pairing, i.e. permitting non-standard base-pairing at the 3rd anti-codon position. RNAcentral also lists the same sequence under 1 other name. The record is from RNAcentral. Lineage: Bacteria; Pseudomonadati; Campylobacterota.